RNAcentral lists this ribosomal RNA (497 nucleotides) under uncultured bacterium. RNAcentral's name for it is "partial 16S ribosomal RNA". It matches the Rfam family "Bacterial small subunit ribosomal RNA", at positions 28 to 507 of the family's 1533-position model. The record is from RNAcentral.
GAUGAACGCUGGCGGCGUGCCUAAUACAUGCAAGUCGAGCGAACAGACGAGGAGCUUGCUCCUCUGACGUUAGCGGCGGACGGGUGAGUAACACGUGGAUAACCUACCUAUAAGACUUGGAUAACUUCGGGAAACCGGAGCUAAUACCGGAUAAUAUAUUGAACCGCAUGGUUCAAUAGUGAAAGACGGUUUUGCUGUCACUUAUAGAUGGAUCCGCGCCGCAUUAGCUAGUUGGUAAGGUAACGGCUUACCAAGGCGACGAUGCGUAGCCGACCUGAGAGGGUGAUCGGCCACACUGGAACUGAGACACGGUCCAGACUCCUACGGGAGGCAGCAGUAGGGAAUCUUCCGCAAUGGGCGAAAGCCUGACGGAGCAACGCCGCGUGAGUGAUGAAGGUCUUCGGAUCGUAAAACUCUGUUAUUAGGGAAGAACAACUGUGUAAGUAACUAUGCACGUCUUGACGGUACCUAAUCAGAAAGCCACGGCUAACUACGUG